GCAGCAGGCGCGCAAAUUACCCACUCCCGGCACGGGGAGGUAGUGACGAAAAAUAACGAUACGGGACUCAUCCGAGGCCCCGUAAUCGGAAUGAGUACACUCUAAACCCUUUAACGAGUAUCCAUUGGAGGGCAAGUCUGGUGCCAGCAGCCGCGGUAAUUCCAGCUCCAAUAGCGUAUAUUAAAGUUGUUGCGGUUAAAAAGCUCGUAGUUGGACUUGUGUCCCACGCUGUCGGUUCACCGUUCGUCGGUGUUAACUGGCAUGCCUGUGUGGACGUCCUGCCGGUGGAUGCGGUCGGCCGUGGGCCUCUGGUCUGCGUGUCGGCGGUCCGAUGCAAUCCUACCGCGGUGCUCUUCACCGAGUGUCGAGGUGGGCCGGCACGUUUACUUUGAACAAAUUAGAGUGCUCAAAGCAGGCAGUGGUUCGCCUGAAUAUUGUGUGCAUGGAAUAAUGGAAUAGGACCUCGGUUCUAUUUUGUUGGUUUUUCGGAACCUGAGGUAAUGAUUAAUAGGGACAGACGGGGGCAUUCGUAUUGCGACGUUAGAGGUGAAAUUCUUGGAUCGUCGCAAGACGAACCUAAGCGAAAGCAUUUGCCAUGAGUGUUUUCAUUAAUCAAGAAACGAAAGUUAGAGGUUCGAAGGCGAUCAGAUACCGCCCUAGUUCUAACCAUAAACGAUGCCAGCUAGCGAUCCGCCGAAGUUCCUCCGAUGACUCGGCGGGCAGCUUCCGGGAAACCAAAGCUUUUGGGUUCCGGGGGAAAGUAUGGUUGCAAAGCUGAAACUUUAAAGGAAUUUGACCGGAAAGGGCACCACCAGGAAGGAAGCCUGCGGCUUAAUUUGACUCAACACGGGAAACUCACCCAGGCCCGGACACCCGGAAAGGAUUGACAGAUUGAUAGCUCUUUCUUGAUUCGGUGGGUGGUGGUGC
RNAcentral lists this ribosomal RNA (927 nucleotides) under Candovia robinsoni. RNAcentral's name for it is "SSU rRNA". It matches the Rfam family "Eukaryotic small subunit ribosomal RNA", at positions 425 to 1283 of the family's 1831-position model. Lineage: Eukaryota; Metazoa; Arthropoda; Insecta; Phasmatodea; Lonchodidae. The record is from RNAcentral.